ACACUCGACCAGAUUUUUUUGAUUUUCGAUUUCCAAACGCGAUUUAUUCCAAUCCGCCUUGUAGCAGACUAACCGGUGCACUUUUGCACGUGUACGCAAGAC
Molecule: regulatory RNA element, 102 nt
Organism: Toxoplasma gondii VEG
Lineage: Eukaryota; Apicomplexa; Conoidasida; Eucoccidiorida; Sarcocystidae
Rfam family: LDH1 5'UTR
About the family: the translational repression of lactate dehydrogenase 1 (LDH1) is mediated through its 5'UTR. A small 16 nucleotide long regulatory RNA hairpin is essential for the repression.
Source: Rfam